RNAcentral lists this ribosomal RNA (427 nucleotides) under uncultured bacterium. RNAcentral's name for it is "bacterial SSU rRNA". It matches the Rfam family "Bacterial small subunit ribosomal RNA", at positions 355 to 774 of the family's 1533-position model. The record is from RNAcentral.
UGGGGAAUAUUGGACAAUGGGCGCAAGCCUGAUCCAGCCAUGCCGCGUGGGUGAAGAAGGCCUUCGGGUUGUAAAGCCCUUUUGUUGGGAAAGAAAUCCUGUCGGCUAAUACCCGGCGGGGAUGACGGUACCCAAAGAAUAAGCACCGGCUAACUUCGUGCCAGCAGCCGCGGUAAUACGAAGGGUGCAAGCGUUACUCGGAAUUACCGGGCGUAAAGCGUGCGUAGGCGGUUCGUUAAGUCUGUCGUGAAAGCCCUGGGCUCAACCUGGGAAUUGCGAUGGAUACUGGCGAGCUAGAGUACGGUAGAGGAUGGUGGAAUUCCCGGUGUAGCGGUGAAAUGCGUAGAGAUCGGGAGGAACACCCGUGGCGAAGGCGGCCAUCUGGACCAGCACUGACACUGAGGCACGAAAGCGUGGGGAGCAAACA